RNAcentral lists this ribosomal RNA (505 nucleotides) under uncultured bacterium. Its description in RNAcentral is "bacterial SSU rRNA". It matches the Rfam family "Bacterial small subunit ribosomal RNA", at positions 34 to 518 of the family's 1533-position model. The record is from RNAcentral.
CGCUGGCGGCGUGCCUAAUACAUGCAAGUCGAGCGAAUGAUUAGAGAAGCUUGCUUCUCUCUGAUUAGCGGCGGACGGGUGAGUAACACGUGGGUAACCUACCCUAUAGACUGGGAUAACUUCGGGAAACCGGAGCUAAUACCGGAUAAUACUUUUUGAACUCAUGUUCGAAAGUUGAAAGAUGGUUUCGGCUAUCACUAUAGGAUGGACCCGCGGCGCAUUAGCUAGUUGGUGAGGUAACGGCUCACCAAGGCAACGAUGCGUAGCCGACCUGAGAGGGUGAUCGGCCACACUGGGACUGAGACACGGCCCAGACUCCUACGGGAGGCAGCAGUAGGGAAUCUUCCACAAUGGACGAAAGUCUGAUGGAGCAACGCCGCGUGAGUGAAGAAGGAUUUCGGUUCGUAAAACUCUGUUGCAAGGGAAGAACAAGUAGCGUAGUAACUGGCGCUACCUUGACGGUACCUUGUUAGAAAGCCACGGCUAACUACGUGCCAGCAGCCGC